UGCACCUUAAAUGCGAAAAUUAAAUUAGCCACACGGCCUAGCACACGGGUGUGUGACUUGGCCGUGUGACCCUUAAUUGAUGCUGAUGUCAUAAACAGAGAGUUACAUGACCUGGGGCAUAGGCGUGUCUAGGGCAUACGGGCGUAUCCUUGUGUCCACACGGGCAAGUGACCCUGUUUUAUGAAAAAAAAUUUAAAUUUCACAGUUUAGUCCCGAACUACCCCUGAUGUAUGUUUUGGGCCUCAUAAGCCUAUAUAAGGGGCGAUAUGCAUGUUCUUGAAUAAAUUUUUAAUUUGAACGAAAAUUUUGUGGCCCUGUUUCACAUAGUAGUGUAUGUUCAAGUCCGGUAAUGCCUCGUAUACUAUCCCGGCGUUGGACGUAAGGGAUGUUACAGUUUUUCUAGUUAAAAUAAACAUUUACAACUCUACAAAGGUUUUACCUUCUCUUCAUAUAAAUAGAUGCCACCGAUAGAGCUAUUAACACAACUUUGAGAGACUCUUAUUCUACUGAAAAAUAGAGAGAAUUUAUUCUCAACUAUUACAUAUAUUUUUCCAGAAUAACAAUUUUACCAGUUUCUAUUAUAGAAGAGAGAAUUUUUAUUUUCACCCCAAAAUGAGAGAAAACUUUUUCUAGUUUUGUGUUUCAAUUUAAUUAGUUCGAAUCCAUACUUGAAACAGUUCGUGGUACGAGAAUAGCAGAGAAGAUCAUUUGGUUGAAAGUCGAAAAACAUCAAGGAUCUGCUUAUCCGAAAACACAGGUAUGAUUUCGGUCUAAGGUUUAUUGCUAUAAAUAUCACAAAUCGAGUCAGUUUUUCAAAAUUUUAAUUUUCCACUGUGUAAGAAAACUGUUUUCAAACCAAUUUUUUUCCAACAAAUUAUUCACCUGUGCACUGUAGGCGAUUGACCUCACGAAAUCAACUUAUUCAUGAAAGGGAACAAGCAACAUUUUGCAACUUUUAUAUAGUCUUAUUUCAGAGAGCCAGAAGGGCUGCAAGCAAGAUUACCAGUACUAGUCCGAGUGCCAUCCCAUUGGACACCGUCGACGAGCCAAUUCUUGAAGAUUAACUUCAAUGGCGCUCUUAACAAACAAAAGCACCAAUCGUUAGCGGGUAUUGUUAGAAGGGAUUCAAAUGAUGCUUUUUUAGUUACGAAAAUCAAUUUACACAAUCACAUAUCUUCGACAUUUGUAGCUGAGGCGGUGGCCUGCCUCUAAGCAGCCCAGAUGGGUCGGGACAUAGGGCUUCAAAUGGUGGUGAUCGAAGAAGAUGCAUUGACAGUGAUCCGCAAGUUGCAGAAAGACCAUACCGACAGAUCAGAAAUGGGGUUUUCAUAUCUGACUGCAUAUCUAUUAGUGCAGGCUUCCAAGUGUGCCUCUUUCAACGUGCACAGCGCCAAGCCAACGUAGUGGCUCAUACGUUAGCUACAGAAGGCUUGUAGAGGGAAUCAGAAGCUUGUCUAAUCAGUGGAGCUCCUCCUUUUGCAAUCGAUGGCGUGGAAUUAUAUUAGAGGCAGAUGGUACGGCCUAGCUGACAAUCACGGUCGAGAGGACUAUGAGAAGAAUAACACGACAACAAGGUCUAGUGCUGUGAGAAGUGGUGUCACCAGUGGCUUAUAGUUUUCAAAUGCUUUGAACAGAUCGGAUCAUGACGCUUCUGUAGGCUAGAGAAUGGAUUUUUUUUUGUGUACAGUAGCUUUGUUUAGGGCUGUUAUGUUUUUUACGAUUCUAGUUCUCACAACCAUAUUUCUUGAGACUUUCUUUACUAAGUUAAUAACAUUCAGCCUCUUUUCAUUUAAAAAAAUAGCUAAAUAUGUAAAAAUAAAAGUGAUAAAUAAAAAAUUAAGAUAGAAAGAGGUUAGGUUUUUAUGUUCU
This 1869-nucleotide long non-coding RNA is filed under the name Gossypium barbadense (sea-island cotton). Its description in RNAcentral is "long non-coding RNA (GBAR_LNC009159)". The record is from RNAcentral. Lineage: Eukaryota; Viridiplantae; Streptophyta; Magnoliopsida; Malvales; Malvaceae.